RNAcentral lists this ribosomal RNA (424 nucleotides) under uncultured bacterium. Its description in RNAcentral is "bacterial SSU rRNA". It matches the Rfam family "Bacterial small subunit ribosomal RNA", at positions 358 to 773 of the family's 1533-position model. The record is from RNAcentral.
GGAAUAUUGGACAAUGGGGGAAACCCUGAUCCAGCAACGCCGCGUGAGGGAAGAAGGCCUUCGGGUUGUAAACCUCUGUCGAAGGGGACGAAACCUUCCAUGGCUAAUAUCCAUGGGAAUUGACGGUACCCUUAGAGGAAGCACAGGCUAACUCCGUGCCAUCAGCCGCGGUAAUUCGGAGGUGUCAAGCGUUGUUCGGAUUUACUGGGCGUAAAGCGUGUCUAGGUGGAUCUGUAUGUCAGGUGUGAAAGCCCCCGGCUUAACUGGGGAUGGUCGCCUGAAACUGCAGACCUUGAGUUCCGGGGGGGUGAGUGGAAUUCCCAGUGUAGAGGUGAAAUUCGUAGAGAUUGGGAGGAACACCGGAGGCGAAAGCGAUUCACUAACCGGAUACUGACACUCAAGCACGAAAGCGCGGGGAGCAAAC